This 343-nucleotide RNase P RNA is filed under the name Chryseobacterium sp. Its description in RNAcentral is "RNase P RNA component class A". It matches the Rfam family "Bacterial RNase P class A". From Rfam's summary of the family: Ribonuclease P (RNase P) is a ubiquitous endoribonuclease, found in archaea, bacteria and eukarya as well as chloroplasts and mitochondria. The record is from RNAcentral. Lineage: Bacteria; Pseudomonadati; Bacteroidota; Flavobacteriia; Flavobacteriales; Weeksellaceae.
CCAGAUCAUUGAGUGAUCGCUCCGAUUUUUUUCGGGGAGGAAAGUCCGGGCAGCAUAGAGCAAAGCAGCCGUUAACGGCGGCCGGGGGUGACCCUAGGGAAAGUGCCACAGAAACGAAACCGCCUCGUUUUUCGGGGUAAGGGUGAAACGAGUGAGGUAAGAGCUCACAGUCGACCGUGGUGACACGGAAGAGAGGUAAACCCUGCUUGCUGCAAGGAGGUGUGACUACGUUAAGGCUGCUCGCUGUAGUUGCAUCAUAAGAACCGCUUGAGUUUGGUGGCAACAUCAAAUCUAGAUAGAUGAUCGCUCGCGACAGAACCCGGCUUACAGAUGAUCUGGAUCU